Molecule: ribosomal RNA, 172 nt
Filed under: Lachnospiraceae bacterium MD335
Lineage: Bacteria; Bacillati; Bacillota; Clostridia; Lachnospirales; Lachnospiraceae
Description: partial 16S ribosomal RNA
Rfam family: Bacterial small subunit ribosomal RNA
Source: RNAcentral
UUCCCGGGUCUUGUACACACCGCCCGUCACACCAUGGGAGUCGGAAAUGCCCGAAGUCAGUGACCUAACCUUUAAGGGAGGAGCUGCCGAAGGUGGAGCCGGUAACUGGGGUGAAGUCGUAACAAGGUAGCCGUAUCGGAAGGUGCGGCUGGAUCACCUCCUUUCUAGGGAA